GAACGGGGAUUAGCCUAAACCGGCUUCGGCCGGGGUAGUGGGACAGCGACAUCUGGGAUAAACUCAUAGACGAACCGAUCUGGAAAGUUCGACCGCAGGGGGUGAAAGUCCCGUAGUCGAAAUGGGUUUAAACUGGUAGCUGGAUCCCGAGUAGCCCGGGACACGAGAAAUCCUGGGUGAAUCAGCGAGGACCAUCUCGUAAGGCUAAAUACAUUUGGUGACUGAUAGCGUAGCAGUACCGUGAGGGAAAGGUGAAAAGGACCCCGGGAGGGGAGUGAAAUAGAACCUGAAACCGUAUGCCUACAAGCGGUCAGAGUGAAGCACCAAUUUUAUUCAUAGAUGGAGGUAUUAUGUAUUAUGUUUAUGUCUUGGAAGACAAGAACGACUUUAGUCGUUAUAUUGGUUAUACUUCAGACCUAAGAAGGAGACUUGAACAGCAUAAUCGACCUCAUCAGGGAUACACCAACGGUUCUGAGUGGACCUUGGUUUAUUACGAAGCAUUCCGGGAAGAGAAGUUGGCGAGACAGCGAGAACGUCGCUUAAAACAGGACGGUAGAGCUAAACGGCAACUUUUUGAUCGAAUCUUCAGUGGAUAAAAUUGGUGCUUCAUGAUGGCGUGCCUUUUGCAUAAUGAGCCAACGAGUUAAUGUCAUAAGCAAGGUUAAGUAUUACAGGUACGUAGCCGCAGCGAAAGCGAGUGUUAACAGCGCGUUUAGUUUAUGGUAUUAGACCCGAAACCAGGUGAUCUACCCAUGGUCAGGUUGAAGGUUGGGUAAAACCAACUGGAGGACCGCACCAACCGUCGUUGAAAAGGCGGUGGAUGAACUGUGGGUAGGGGUGAAAGGCCAAACAAACCUGGAGAUAGCUGGUUCUCUCCGAAACAUAUUUAGGUAUGGCCUCAGGACUGAGAUUAGCGGAGGUAGAGCACUGAAUGGGCUAGGGGGCUUACAAGCUUACUGAACCCAAUCAAACUCCGAAUGCCGUUAAUUGCUUCCUGGGAGACAGGGCGUGAGGGAUAAGCUUCACGUGCGAGAGGGGAACAACCCAGACUGUCAGCUAAGGCCCUCAAAUAGAUGCUUAGUGCGUAAGGAUGUUCAAUUGCCCAGACAGCCAGGAUCUUGGCUUAGAAGCAGCCAUGAUUUAAAGAGUGCGUAACAGCUCACUGGUCGAGUGGUAGAGCACCGAAGAUGAUCGGGACUAAGAAGCAUCUUGCCGAAGCUGCGGACUCGUAGAAUAAACUAUGAGUGGUAGGAGAGCAUUGUGAUUGCGUCGAAGGUGAGUUGUCAAGCUUGCUGGAGCGGUCACAAGAGACCAUGUUGGCAUGAGUAACGAUAAUGCGGGUGGGAAACCCGCACACCACAAGCCCGAGGAUUCCUGAGUAAAGUUAAUCUGCUCAGGGUUAGUCGGCCCCUAAGGUAUAGCCAGUUGGCGAAGCUGAUGGGAAUCAGGUUAAUAUUCCUGAACCUGUGUAUUGAGCGAUGGAGUGACGCGACGGUGCAGCGGGGAUGGCUGUUGGAAUAGCCAUUGAACGCGUGUAGGAGGUGAUCCAGGCAAAUCCGGGUCACGCAUACUCCGAGGCGUGGGACGAGGCGUAAGCCGCAAAGCCCGCCUACAGACGUUGCCUAGAAACAGCUUCUAAGCAUAUUGAUGCACAGACCGUACCGCAAACCGACUCAGGUGGGCGAGGAGAGUAUCCUAAGGUGUUCGAGCGAACUCUGGUUAAGGAACUAGGCAAAAUAACCCCGUAACUUCGGGAGAAGGGGUACCCCGUUAUUGUGAAGGAGCGCAUCCGGAGCGAGAGGGGGGCGCAGUGAAGAGGCCCAAGCGACUGUUUAUCAAAAACACAGGUCUAUGCGAAGGGGAAACCCACGGUAUAUAGACUGACACCUGCCCGGUGCCGGAAGGUUAAAUGGAGAGGUCAGCAGCAAUGUGAAGCUUCGAAAUGAAGCCCCGGUAAACGGCGGCCGUAACUAUAACGGUCCUAAGGUAGCGAAAUUCCUUGUCGGGUAAGUUCCGACCUGCACGAAUGGUGUAACGAUUUGGGCGCUGUCUCAACCAGGGGCUCGGUGAAAUUGAAGUUGCGGUGAAGAUGCCGCAUACCCGCGAACGGACGGAAAGACCCCGUGAACCUUUACUGUAGCUUGGCAUUGUAAAUUGGUGCAGUAUGUGUAGGAUAGGUGGGAGGCUAUGAAGCGUGCACGCCAGUGUGUGUGGAGCCGUCGUUGAAAUACCACCCUUAUUGUAUUGGUUUACUAACGACAGUAACGCUGUCGGACAUUGCCAGGUGGGCAGUUUGACUGGGGCGGUCGCCUCCGAAAGUGUAACGGAGGCUUACCAAGGUUCCCUCCGGCUGGUUGGUAAUCAGCCACAGAGCAUAAAGGUAUAAGGGAGCUUGACUGCGAGACUGACGGGUCGAGCAGGUGGGAAACCAGGUCUUAGUGAUCCGGCGGUCCUGAAUGGAAGGGCCGUUGCUCAAAGGAUAAAAGGUACUCCGGGGAUAACAGGCUGAUACCGCCCAAGCGUCCAUAGCGACGGCGGUGUUUGGCACCUCGAUGUCGGCUCAACUCAUCCUGGGGCUGAAGAAGGUCCCAAGGGUUCGGCUGUUCGCCGAUUAAAGAGUUACGCGAGCUGGGUUCAGAACGUCGUGAGACAGUUCGGUCCCUAUCCUUCGUGGGCGCAGGAAAUUUGAGGAGAUCUGCAUUUAGUACGAGAGGACCGGUGUGGACGAACCUCUGGUGUACCGGUUGUGAUGCCAAUUGCAUUGCCGGGUAGCCACGUUCGGAGAGGAUAACCGCUGAAAGCAUCUAAGCGGGAAGCCAACUCCAAGAUUAGAUUUCCCAACAGACAGGUUGGAGACUACAACCUUGAUAGGUCACAGGUGUAAGCGUCGUGAGGCGUUCAGCCGAGUGAUACUAAUAUGUCGAUUGGCUUUCAC
Molecule: ribosomal RNA, 2935 nt
Filed under: sludge metagenome
Description: bacterial LSU rRNA
Rfam family: Bacterial large subunit ribosomal RNA
Source: RNAcentral